UGAGUACGAGACGCUAAGGCGUCGAAGUAGUGGAUGUCAUACUUCCAAGAAAAGCUUGCACUGUCAUAAAUAUAAAACGCCUGUACCAUAACCGACACAGGUGGGUAGGUAGAGUAUACUAAGGGGCGCGAGAUAACUCUCUCUAAGGAACUCGGCAAAAUAACUCCGUAACUUCGGGAGAAGGAGUGCCUUAUUCGUAAGGCUGCAAUAACAAGAUCCAAGCAACUGUUUAUCAAAAACACAGGUCUCCGCUAAGUCGUAAGACGAUGUAUGGGGGCUGACGCCUGCCCAGUGCCAGAAGGUUAAAGAAGUCGGUUAGCAUUAGCGAAGCUGGUAACUGAAGCCCUGGUGAACGGCGGCCGUAACGAUAACGGUCCUAAGGUAGCGAAAUUCCUUGUCGGGUAAGUUCCGACCCGCACGAAAGGCGUAAUGAUUUGGAUACUGUCUCGGAGAGGGGCUCGGUGAAAUAGACUUGUCUGUGAAGAUGCGGACUACCUGCACCAGGACAGAAAGACCCUAUGAAGCUUUACUGUAACUUGAAAUUGAAAUUGGACUUUAUUCGCGCAGUAUAGGUGGGAGGUGUUGAUUAUAAUCUUGCGGGAUUAUUGGAGCCAUCAGUGAGAUACCACUCUUGUAAUGUUAGAUUUCUAACUUUGAAUCAUUAUCUGGUCAAAGAACAGUUUCAGGCGGGCAGUUUGACUGGGGCGGUCGCCUCCUAAAUGGUAACGGAGGCGUACAAAGGUUUCCUCUGAACGGGUAGAAAUCGUAUCUAGAGUGUAAAGGCAUAAGGAAGCUUGACUGUGAGACCUACAAGUCGAGCAGGGACGAAAGUCGGUCUUAGUGAUCUGACGGUACUGAGUGGAAAGGCCGUCACUCAACGGAUAAAAGUUACUCUAAGGAUAACAGGCUGAUCUCCCCCAAGAGUUCACAUCGACGGGGAGGUUUGGCACCUCGAUGUCGGCUCAUCGCAUCCUGGGGCGGUAGUACGUCCCAAGGGUUGGGCUGUUCGCCCAUGAAAGCGGUACGCGAGCUGGGUUCAGAACGUCGUGAGACAGUUCGGUCCAUAUCCGGUGUAGGCGUUAGAAUAUUGAGAGGAGCCUUCUUUAGUACGAGAGGACCGAGAAGGACAUACCUCUGGUGUACCAGUUAUCGUGCCAACGGUAAACGCUGGGUAGCUAUGUAUGGAGUGGAUAACCGCUGAAAGCAUCUAAGUGGGAAGCCCACCUCAAGAUAAG
This 1235-nucleotide ribosomal RNA is filed under the name metagenome. RNAcentral describes it as "bacterial LSU rRNA". It matches the Rfam family "Bacterial large subunit ribosomal RNA", at positions 1564 to 2808 of the family's 2925-position model. The record is from RNAcentral.